RNAcentral lists this ribosomal RNA (445 nucleotides) under uncultured bacterium. RNAcentral describes it as "partial 16S ribosomal RNA". It matches the Rfam family "Bacterial small subunit ribosomal RNA", at positions 354 to 796 of the family's 1533-position model. The record is from RNAcentral.
GUAGGGAAUAUUGGGCAAUGGGUGCAAGCCUGACCCAGCCAUCCCGCGUGCCGGAUGAAGGCCCUCUGGGUCGUAAACGGCUUUUGACGGUGAAGAAUCGACAGGAUGCGUCCUGUUUUGACGGUAGCCGUUGAAUAAGCACCGGCUAACUCCGUGCCAGCAGCCGCGGUAAUACGGAGGGUGCGAGCGUUGUCCGGAUUUAUUGGGUUUAAAGGGUGCGUAGGCUGGAAGGUCAGUCAGCGGUGAAAAGCUGUCGCUUAACGAUAGUCUUGCCGCAGAUACUUCCUUUCUUGGAUGAGGAGGAGGCCACUGGAACGGAUGGUGUAGCGGUGAAAUGCAUAGAUAUCAUCCAGAACACCGAUUGCGAAGGCAGGUGGCUGUACCUUAAUCGACGCUGAUGCACGAAAGCAUGGGGAGCAAACAGGAUUAGAUACCCUAGUAGUCC